Molecule: transfer RNA, 66 nt
Filed under: Pseudophoraspis kabakovi
Lineage: Eukaryota; Metazoa; Arthropoda; Insecta; Blattodea; Blaberidae
Description: tRNA-Asp
Source: RNAcentral
GAAAAAUUAGUUAAUUAUAACAUUAGAAUGUCAAACUAAAAUUAUCAAAAAAAUUGAUAUUUUUCA